Molecule: long non-coding RNA, 857 nt
Organism: Tympanuchus pallidicinctus (lesser prairie-chicken)
Lineage: Eukaryota; Metazoa; Chordata; Aves; Galliformes; Phasianidae
Exons: 5
Source: RefSeq, a predicted model, not a curated record
UCAGUUUUUCAACUUCUGAAGGAUUAUUAACUUCAAAGUGUGAAGAAAUGUCGGCCUUCUAUGUUUGGAAAUGCCAGCAGCCUUUGCAUAUCCCCACUGCAGUCCCAAGCAACCCCCAGCAGAGAGGAACGAUUACUGCCUCAGUGGUGUAAGGAUGGCUUUUGAUCUCCUAACAUAUUGGAAAUUACUUAAAGGUGGAUUUAUUUGUGAAAUUUUGAAUAUGGCAAAAGGCAUGCUCAUCACUACUAAGAAGCCUUGCUACCCAACAAACAUUCACAAUCCUGCUGUGGUUUAGAAUCAAAAAUACUCAAUCAAUGCAAAUGGUAUAUGCCUUCUAAUAUGUUCUAGAGUACACUGACUUCAGAUUUUCAGCAAGUCAAAAUGGACUGUGUCCCCCCAAGAAACUGGUAUGGCACCUAUCAGAAUAUUUGGCCAAAAGGAUGCAAAUGAGUUUCAAGGACAAUUUAAUAGCAGAGAAUCUGUGAGAUUUGAUCCCUUGAAUCUCAGCUCACCACUGUAGGAUGCUACUCGUCUCACAAGACCUUGGAAGUCUAACAGCCAUGUUUCAUGCAUGAAGAAUUUCCACACAGUGAUCCAGCAGAUUAAAAUCCCUCACACUCUCUGUUCUUGGCCUGAAAGCUGAUGAAAACGAAUCAAGAAAAUGUGUAGUGAGUUGAGAUGCAAAUAUUAGAUAGUUUUAGUGCUCAUAGAGCUUCUGAAUCUUUAUUUGUAAUAUUAGAAACAGUUAAACAGUUUAACAGUCAUCUUUCUCUGCCAUGAACUAGGAAAAUAAUGUCUUGAACAUGAGUGAAUGCUCACUGCUUAUGUAUGCCUGUGUAAGAAUCAAUAAAUGUUUU